CUGGAAGUGAUGCACAAUAAAAACACCUGACUGCCUGUGAUGGUAUUUGUAUUCAUACUGUCUGAUCCAG
Molecule: small nucleolar RNA, 70 nt
Organism: Cynoglossus semilaevis (tongue sole)
Lineage: Eukaryota; Metazoa; Chordata; Actinopteri; Pleuronectiformes; Cynoglossidae
Source: Ensembl